This 888-nucleotide ribosomal RNA is filed under the name Salmonella enterica subsp. enterica serovar Typhimurium. Its description in RNAcentral is "partial 23S ribosomal RNA". It matches the Rfam family "Bacterial large subunit ribosomal RNA", at positions 1 to 820 of the family's 2925-position model. Lineage: Bacteria; Pseudomonadati; Pseudomonadota; Gammaproteobacteria; Enterobacterales; Enterobacteriaceae. The record is from RNAcentral.
GGGUUGUGAGGUUAAGCGACUAAGCGUACACGGUGGAUGCCCUGGCAGUCAGAGGCGAUGAAGGGCGUGCUAAUCUGCGAUAAGCGCCGGUAAGGUGAUAUGAACCGUUAUAACCGGCGAUACCCGAAUGGGGAAACCCAGUGUGACUCGUCACACUAUCAUUAACUGAAUCCAUAGGUUAAUGAGGCGAACCGGGGGAACUGAAACAUCUAAGUACCCCGAGGAAAAGAAAUCAACCGAGAUUCCCCCAGUAGCGGCGAGCGAACGGGGAGGAGCCCAGAGCCUGAAUCAGCAUGUGUGUUAGUGGAAGCGUCUGGAAAGGCGCGCGAUACAGGGUGACAGCCCCGUACACAAAAGCGCAUGUGCUGUGAGCUCGAUGAGUAGGGCGGGACACGUGGUAUCCUGUCUGAAUAUGGGGGGACCAUCCUCCAAGGCUAAAUACUCCUGACUGACCGAUAGUGAACCAGUACCGUGAGGGAAAGGCGAAAAGAACCCCGGCGAGGGGAGUGAAAAAGAACCUGAAACCGUGUACGUACAAGCAGUGGGAGCCCCACCACCAAAGCAUUCUCUGGUGUUGAAGGCCCUGCAAAGCAGCAUCGCGGUGGCGGAGCGUCGUUUGCGACGCCCAACACACAAAACAAGCGGUGAAUGCUUUGGGGUGGGGUGACUGCGUACCUUUUGUAUAAUGGGUCAGCGACUUAUAUUCUGUAGCAAGGUUAACCGAAUAGGGGAGCCGGAGGGAAACCGAGUCUUAAUUGGGCGUUAAGUUGCAGGGUAUAGACCCGAAACCCGGUGAUCUAGCCAUGGGCAGGUUGAAGGUUGGGUAACACUAACUGGAGGACCGAACCGACUAAUGUUGAAAAAUUAGCGGAUGACCUGUGGCUGGGG